This 72-nucleotide transfer RNA is filed under the name Microcaldota archaeon. Its description in RNAcentral is "Candidatus Micrarchaeota archaeon (hot springs metagenome) tRNA-Ala". It matches the Rfam family "tRNA". From Rfam's summary of the family: Transfer RNA (tRNA) molecules are approximately 80 nucleotides in length. Lineage: Archaea; Nanobdellati; Microcaldota. The record is from RNAcentral.
GGGCCUGUAGCUCAAUGGUAGAGCGCCUCCAUGGCAUGGAGGAGGCUGCGCGUUCGAAUCGCGCCAGGUCCA